Molecule: ribosomal RNA, 224 nt
Filed under: uncultured bacterium
Lineage: Bacteria
Description: partial 16S ribosomal RNA
Rfam family: Bacterial small subunit ribosomal RNA
Source: RNAcentral
UACGUAGGGGGCAAGCGUUGUCCGGAUUUAUUGGGCGUAAAGAGCGUGUAGGCGGUUAGGUAGGUCCGUUGUGAAAACUCGAGGCUCAACCUCGAGACGCCGAUGGAAACCAUCUGACUAGAGUCCGGAAGAGGAGAGUGGAAUUCCUGGUGUAGCGGUGAAAUGCGCAGAUAUCAGGAAGAACACCCCGUGGCUAAGGCGGCUCUCCUAUAGCGUGGACCUGA